This 556-nucleotide ribosomal RNA is filed under the name Clostridioides sp. ZZV14-6105. Its description in RNAcentral is "partial 23S ribosomal RNA". It matches the Rfam family "Bacterial large subunit ribosomal RNA", at positions 1743 to 2309 of the family's 2925-position model. Lineage: Bacteria; Bacillati; Bacillota; Clostridia; Peptostreptococcales; Peptostreptococcaceae. The record is from RNAcentral.
AAGGGGUGCCACCAUACGGUGGCCGCAGAGAAUAGGCCCAAGCGACUGUUUACCAAAAACAUAGGUUUCUGCUAAGUCGCAAGACGAUGUAUAGGAGCUGACGCCUGCCCGGUGCUGGAAGGUUAAGGGGAUCUGUUAGAGCAAUCGAAGCAGUGAACUUAAGCCCCAGUAAACGGCGGCCGUAACUAUAACGGUCCUAAGGUAGCGAAAUUCCUUGUCGGGUAAGUUCCGACCCGCACGAAAGGCGUAACGAUUUGGGCACUGUCUCAACAACAGACUCGGUGAAAUUGUAAUUCCGGUGAAGAUGCCGGAUACCUGCGACAGGACGGAAAGACCCCAUGGAGCUUUACUGUAGCUUGACAUUGGGUCUUGGUACUACAUGUACAGGAUAGGUGGGAGGCUUUGAAACCAGGACGCCAGUUUUGGCGGAGCCAUCCUUGGGAUACCACCCUUGUAGUACUGGGACUCUAACCAUAGGCCAUGAAUCUGGUCUUGGGACACUGUCAGGUGGGCAGUUUGACUGGGGCGGUCGCCUCCCAAAAGGUAACGGAGGCGC